GAUGAAGAACGCAGCGAAAUGCGAUAAGUAAUGUGAAAUGCAGAAUUCAGUGAAUCAUCGAAUCUUUGAACGCACAUUGCGCCCAUUAGCAUUCUAGUGGGCAUGCCUGUUCGAGCGUCAUUUCAACCCUUAAGCCCUGUUGCUUAGCGUUGGGAGCCUACAGUACUGUAGCUCCCCAAAGUUAGUGGCGGAGUCGGUUUCACACUCUAGACGUAGUAAAUUUUUCUCGUCUGUAGUUGAGCCGGUCCCCUGCCGUAAAACACCCAAUUUAUCAAGGUUGACCUCGGAUCAGGUAGGAAUACCCGCUGAACUUAAGCAUAUCAAUAAGCGGAGGA
This 335-nucleotide unclassified non-coding RNA is filed under the name soil metagenome. RNAcentral's name for it is "partial contains 5.8S ribosomal RNA, internal transcribed spacer 2, and large subunit ribosomal RNA". The stretch from base 1 to 120 matches the Rfam family "5.8S ribosomal RNA", at positions 35 to 154 of the family's 154-position model. The record is from RNAcentral.